RNAcentral lists this long non-coding RNA (201 nucleotides) under Elaeis guineensis (African oil palm). RNAcentral describes it as "long non-coding RNA (EGUI_LNC055728)". The record is from RNAcentral. Lineage: Eukaryota; Viridiplantae; Streptophyta; Magnoliopsida; Arecales; Arecaceae.
GGGGUGGGUUCACCCCUGAAAGCUUCAUCAGCCCAUGCAUACUUCUCCACCUUGGUUAACAUCUCCGCAAAAUCACAAGGGUAGGACUUCUCCAAAGAGUAUUGGAGACCAUUUUUUAAAAGCCUGUCCUUCAAGGUGGCCAUCACGAUCGAUUGAUCUAGGUCGUGCACUUUCAAAACGGCCGCAUUAAAAUGGCCAAGG